Molecule: ribosomal RNA, 663 nt
Filed under: uncultured archaeon
Lineage: Archaea
Description: bacterial SSU rRNA
Rfam family: Archaeal small subunit ribosomal RNA
Source: RNAcentral
CGACGGUGAGGGGUGAAAGCUGGGGGAGCAAACCGGAUUAGAUACCCGGGUAGUCCCAGCUGUAAACUAUGCAAACUCAGUGAUGCAUUGGCUUGUGGCCAAUGCAGUGCUGCAGGGAAGCCGUUAAGUUUGCCGCCUGGGAAGUACGUACGCAAGUAUGAAACUUAAAGGAAUUGGCGGGGGAGCACCACAAGGGGUGAAGCCUGCGGUUCAAUUGGAGUCAACGCCAGAAAUCUUACCCGGAGAGACAGCAGAAUGAAGGUCAAGCUGAAGACUUUACCAGACAAGCUGAGAGGUGGUGCAUGGCCGUCGCCAGCUCGUGCCGUGAGAUGUCCUGUUAAGUCAGGUAACGAGCGAGAUCCCUGCCUCUAGUUGCCACCAUUACUCUCAGGAGUAGUGGGGCGAAUUAGCGGGACCGCCGCAGUUAAUGCGGAGGAAGGAAGGGGCCACGGCAGGUCAGUAUGCCCCGAAACUCUGGGGCCACACGCGGGCUGCAAUGGUAACGACAAUUGGUUUCGAAUCCGAAAGGAUGAGGUAAUCCUCAAACGUUACCACAGUUAUGACUGAGGGCUGCAACUCGCCCUCACGAAUAUGGAAUCCCUAGUAACUGCGUGUCAUUAUCGCGCGGUGAAUACGUCCCUGCUCCUUGCACACACCGCCCGU